Molecule: ribosomal RNA, 499 nt
Filed under: uncultured bacterium
Lineage: Bacteria
Description: partial 16S ribosomal RNA
Rfam family: Bacterial small subunit ribosomal RNA
Source: RNAcentral
AUUGAACGCUGGCGGCAUGCCUUACACAUGCAAGUCGAACGCGAAAGGGGGGCAACCCCUGAGUAGAGUGGCGCACGGGUGAGUAAUGCAUCGGAACGUGUCCUGUAGCGGGGGAUAACCUAGCGAAAGCUAGGCUAAUACCGCAUACGCCCUAAGGGGGAAAGUGGGGGAUCGUAAGACCUCACAAUAUAGGAGCGGCCGAUGCCGGAUUAGCUAGUUGGUGGGGUAAAAGCUCACCAAGGCGACGAUCCGUAGCUGGUCUGAGAGGAUGAUCAGCCACACUGGGACUGAGACACGGCCCAGACUCCUACGGGAGGCUGCAGUGGGGAAUUUUGGACAAUGGGGGAAACCCUGAUCCAGCCAUGCCGCGUGAGUGAAGAAGGCCUUCGGGUUGUAAAGCUCUUUCGGCCGGGACGAAAUCGCACGCGUGAAUAUCGUGUGCGGAUGACGGUACCGGCAGAAGAAGGACCGGCUAACUACGUGCCAGCCGCCGCAGUAA